GAUGAACGCUGGCGGCGUGCCUAAUACAUGCAAGUCGAGCGAACAGACGAUGAGCUUGCUCCUCUGACGUUAGCGGCGGACGGGUGAGUAACACGUGGAUAACCUACCUAUAAGACUUGGAUAACUUCGGGAAACCGGAGCUAAUACCGGAUAAUAUAUUGAACCGCAUGGUUCAAUAGUGAAAUACGGUUUUGCUGUCACUUCUAGAUGGAUCCGCGCCGCAUUAGCUAGUUGGUAAGGUAACGGCUUACCAAGGCAACGAUGCGUAGCCGGCGUAAGAGGGUGACCGGCCAGAGAGGGCGGAAGACAAGAUCGAGACUCAGACGGGAGGCAGAAGAAGAGAGGAGGCAGAAGGGGGGAAAAGUGGACAGGAGGAGCGAGGCGGAGGUAGUGAAGUUGUGGGGAUGAAGAAGGUUUUUGAUUAGGAAAAAACAAAGGGGAAUGAAAAAGGGCGUGUCGGGACGGUAGCUAAAGAAAAAGCAACGGCAAACUACGUG
This 497-nucleotide ribosomal RNA is filed under the name uncultured bacterium. RNAcentral's name for it is "partial 16S ribosomal RNA". It matches the Rfam family "Bacterial small subunit ribosomal RNA", at positions 28 to 507 of the family's 1533-position model. The record is from RNAcentral.